CUCUGGUAAUGAUUGGUGCUUGCAUCAUGAAUUACAUUUGAGUGAGUGGCGAACUGGUGAGUAACACGUGGGAAACCUGCCCAGAAGCGGGGGAUAACACCUGGAAACAGAUGCUAAUACCGCAUAACAACUUGGACCGCAUGGUCCGAGUUUGAAAGAUGGCUUCGGCUAUCACUUUUGGAUGGUCCCGCGGCGUAUUAGCUAGAUGGUGAGGUAACGGCUCACCAUGGCAAUGAUACGUAGCCGACCUGAGAGGGUAAUCGGCCACAUUGGGACUGAGACACGGCCCAAACUCCUACGGGAGGCAGCAGUAGGGAAUCUUCCACAAUGGACGAAAGUCUGAUGGAGCAACGCCGCGUGAGUGAAGAAGGGUUUCGGCUCGUAAAACUCUGUUGUUAAAGAAGAACAUAUCUGAGAGUAACUGUUCAGGUAUUGACGGUAUUUAACCAGAAAGCCACGGCUAACUACGUGCCAGCAGCCGCGGUAAUACGUAGGUGGCAAGCGUUGUCCGGAUUUAUUGGGCGUAAAGCGAGCGCAGGCGGUUUUUUAAGUCUGAUGUGAAAGCCUUCGGCUCAACCGAAGAAGUGCAUCGGAAACUGGGAAACUUGAGUGCAGAAGAGGACAGUGGAACUCCAUGUGUAGCGGUGAAAUGCGUAGAUAUAUGGAAGAACACCAGUGGCGAAGGCGGCUGUCUGGUCUGUAACUGACGCUGAGGCUCGAAAGUAUGGGUAGCAAACAGGAUUAGAUACCCUGGUAGUCCAUACCGUAAACGAUGAAUGCUAAGUGUUGGAGGGUUUCCGCCCUUCAGUGCUGCAGCU
Molecule: ribosomal RNA, 818 nt
Filed under: Lactiplantibacillus plantarum
Lineage: Bacteria; Bacillati; Bacillota; Bacilli; Lactobacillales; Lactobacillaceae
Description: bacterial SSU rRNA
Rfam family: Bacterial small subunit ribosomal RNA
Source: RNAcentral